AAUGAUGGGAAGGGUCAGAAUUAAAAUUGGAAAAACAAAAGAUUAAUAUAAGGGAAUAUAAAUGAUUUUUAAAAAAGCGCAAAGAAAAGACUGAACGCGCAUUCACCUUCGACCAGGGUCUCUGGAUUCCGUUCUUCAGGAAAGGGGGGACCCUCACAAAAUGUGAGUAUUAUAUGUUUUAGUGCCUGUGAAAGUAAAUGUAUGUAGAACCAUAUUUUACAAAACAUUAUGAAUUCUCAUGAUAUCUGUAAUAUAAUAUUGUCCUUUAGCUGACUUGUUUUCUCUGUCAUCGUAGUAGAAUGGGAGGGAAAAAUAAAAAUAAAAUGACCUAGCCCGUGUUCCUUUUAAUCACAUGACGCACUAAAGAAAACCGGUAUUACUGGAAGAGGAGGAGAAAAUUUCCUUGAGACUAACAUACAACUCAUGAUGAACUAUACAACACUAUUCACAUGGAUAUAGGAAAUAAAAAGCCAUAGAGGUUUGGAAUGAAAUGUGGGUGAAUAAAUGAGGACAAUCCUUGUGUGAACAUUUCCUUUAUCUCCAGCAGCAAUGGAAUUACCCAGCAACCUCAGUCGGCAGAAUAGCAUAAAACCAAACGUUCCACCACGCAGACCAAUCCUGAUUCAUCGAGGGCCACCAAAAUGCAUACAGAGAGGAAAGUUCUUGAUGAGAAUGGAAAAGUUUGAAAAUAGACUUUUGGGAAGAAAGA
Puntigrus tetrazona (Sumatra barb) is the source of this 709-nucleotide long non-coding RNA. RefSeq lists it as uncharacterized. The record is from RefSeq and is a predicted model, not a curated record. NCBI's taxonomy places the organism in Eukaryota, Metazoa, Chordata, Actinopteri, Cypriniformes, Cyprinidae. The transcript is spliced from 3 exons.